AUAGUUUGAUCAUGGCUCAGGAUGAACGCUGGCGGCGUGCUUAACACAUGCAAGUCGAACGAAGUCUUUCGGGACUGAGUGGCGGACGGGUGAGUAACGCGUGAGGAUCUGGCCUUAGGAGGGGGACAACAGUUGGAAACGACUGCUAAUACCCCAUAUGCCGAGAGGUGAAAGGGUUAAAACUGCCUGAGGAUGAACUCGCGUCUGAUUAGCUAGUUGGUUGGGUAAUGGCUGACCAAGGCGACGAUCAGUAGCUGGUCUAAGAGGAUGAUCAGCCACACUGGGACUGAGACACGGCCCAGACUCCUACGGGAGGCAGCAGUGGGGAAUUUUCCGCAAUGGGCGAAAGCCUGACGGAGCAACGCCGCGUGAGGGAGGAAGGCCUUAGGGUUGUAAACCUCUUUUCUCUGGGAAGAAGAUCUGACGGUACCAGAGGAAUAAGCCUCGGCUAACUCCGUGCCAGCAGCCGCGGUAAGACGGAGGAGGCAAGCGUUAUCCGGAAUUAUUGGGCGUAAAGCGUCCGCAGGCGGUUUAUCAAGUCUGCUGUCAAAUACCACAGCUUAACUGUGGGCAGGCAGUGGAAACUGAUGAACUAGAGAGCGGUAGGGGUAGAGGGAAUUCCCGGUGUAGCGGUGAAAUGCGUAGAUAUCGGGAAGAACACCAGUGGCGAAGGCGCUCUACUGGGCCGUUACUGACGCUGAGGGACGAAAGCUAGGGGAGCGAAAGGGAUUAGAUACCCCUGUAGUCCUAGCUGUAAACGAUGGAUACUAGGUGUUGGGCGUAUCGACCCGUCCAGUACCGUAGCUAACGCGUUAAGUAUCCCGCCUGGGGAGUACGCACGCAAGUGUGAAACUCAAAGGAAUUGACGGGGGCCCGCACAAGCGGUGGAGGAUGUGGUUUAAUUCGAUGCAACGCGAAGAACCUUACCAAGGCUUGACAUCCUGCGAAUCCUUCAGAGAUGGAGGAGUGCCUUCGGGAGCGCAGAGACAGGUGGUGCGUGGCUGUCGUCAGCUCGUGUCGUGAGAUGUUGGGUUAAGUCCCGCAACGAGCGCAACCCUCGUUCUUAGUUGCCAGCAUUAAGUUGGGCACUCUGGGGAGGCUGCCGUGGACAACACGGAGGAAGGUGGGGACGACGUCAAGUCAUCAUGCCCCUUACGUCUUGGGCUACACACGUCCUACAAUGCUACAGACAGAGGGCAGCGAGCGCGCGAGUGCAAGCAAAUCCCAUAAACUGUGGCACAGUUCAGAUUGCAGGCUGCAACUCGCCUGCAUGAAAGCGGAAUCGCUAGUAAUCGCCGGUCAGCAUACGGCGGUGAAUACGUUCCCGGGCCUUGUACACACCGCCCGUCACACCAUGGGAGUUGGCCACGCCCGAAGUCGUUACUCUAACCUUAGGGAGGAGGGCGCCGAAGGCAGGGCUGAUGACUGGGGUGAAGUCGUAACAAGGUAGCCGUA
Molecule: ribosomal RNA, 1455 nt
Filed under: uncultured bacterium
Lineage: Bacteria
Description: bacterial SSU rRNA
Rfam family: Bacterial small subunit ribosomal RNA
Source: RNAcentral